This 1539-nucleotide long non-coding RNA is filed under the name Anas platyrhynchos platyrhynchos (common mallard). Its description in RNAcentral is "lncRNA (ENSAPLG00000018864.1)". Lineage: Eukaryota; Metazoa; Chordata; Aves; Anseriformes; Anatidae. The record is from RNAcentral.
GCUCCCUGCAUCCCCAGCCACCUGUCCCAUUGCAUCCCAAUUGAAUCUGAAGAAGAUGGAGAAUGGGACAUUGCAGGGGCAUGGCACACUGUGGGUGACAUCAAAUCCUAAGGAACAGUGGCUGAACUAUUCCUGCAGGGCCAGCAGCUCCCACACUGGCUGCAGCCUGUAGGGAAACAGUGCCCCUUUUUUUUUUUCCCAGCAGGCUGCCCUUAGCUUUAGUCAUUAUCCCCCUGCAACCCUCAGAGCCCAAACCCCAACCCUUCUGCUUGCACGAAACACGCAGUUCAGCCCGGAUUUAGUCAGGAGCUUGCCAAAACACCCAAAAGCACAGCGUGCCAAGGGUCCAGCCCCCAAAGCUGUGGCUCCUCUGAGGGCUGGCGGUGCAGCAGGGCUGUGCACAAGGCGCCCUUGUCCCCUGUGCCGUGGAACAAAGGCCGCUGCUGUGCGCUAAUGCUGGCGGCUUGGCGGCAGGCAGGGGGGUGAUGGGGCGGGCACGGGGUGGAUUAGCCUCCAGUGAUCCCACAGGGAGCUUUCUGAGCACCCUGCAGCUCCCAGACGCUGGAGGUUUCUCCACAGUUCCCUGGUGCUCCGGGCAGGUAAGGCUGUGGGGUGCCCGGCCUGCUGAGCGCAGUGCCUCGGGGUGGGGCAGGCAGGGCUUUUGGGGUGAACGCUGAGAAAGCGAGCAGGAUUUAUGUGCCUUCUGCCACUAGCUCAGGGAGAGGGUCUUGUGGUUUAGCAAGCCCCCCUGGCCACCCAGCAUCCCCUCCCCAUGUCCCCAUGACCCUGCUCCUGCCCUGUGCCCCCUCUCUGGGGCUGGCAUUGGGAGGCACGGCAGGGCUGGGGCAGCCAGCACGAAGGAGAGGCAGAGUUCAAAGCAAAUUAAAAAAUGCAUAAAAUAGCCCCUGCUUGGUCUGCUUGGUAGAGGCUGAUGUCCCUCAGCCACUUCCACUGGAGUUGUAAAGGCCUCAAUCUGUCCCUUUUUUCCCUCUUAAAAACAGCACUGCUCCUUGCCAAAGCGUUUCCCCUGUCAUCCCCUGUGAGGGAGGAUGGCACCGGGGACGUCACUGCUCACACGGGGCUCGGGUUUCCAAUUUUCACUCGAGUGACACUGUCUGUCCUGACAGGUGCCGGCAAGAGGCCACCGCCAGCGUCCCCGCAGGCUGAGCGAGCGGCUGGUGCAGAGCAGGACACCGGUGGCAAUGCUCACCUAGGGUACCCGAAUCCAGGCACCCACACACGGUGCUGCCACCACACACGUGCAGCCAGGCGGAGGAGAGACCCCAACUCCAGCCCCAGCCAUGGAGCCGGCCCCCGAAAUGAAGAGGAAUAGGUUCCCCAGCAUGAACUUUGAAGCAGAGAUUCUGGCAGCUCCACACGAUAAUUCAGGUAUUUGGGAGAAAAAUCAAAAACCGAAAAGGAGAUGAAAGUAAACUACCCACUCCACUUGCUAUCACUACAAAUAUAUCUUGUUUUGGAAACAGAGUUGGAAGUUGUUAAAAAAACAAACAAGAAAUAAAAAAAAAACAGGAUACUACA